GAUGAACGCUAGCUACAGGCUUAACACAUGCAAGUCGAGGGGAAACGAUGAGAGAGCUUGCUCUCUUAGGCGUCGACCGGCGCACGGGUGAGUAACGCGUAUCCAACCUGCCCAUUACAGGGGGAUAACCUUGCGAAAGUAAGACUAAUACCCCAUGGCAUUUUAUGGUGGCAUCAUUAUAGGAUUAAAGAUUUAUUGGUAAUGGAUGGGGAUGCGUCUGAUUAGCUUGUUGGCGGGGUAACGGCCCACCAAGGCAACGAUCAGUAGGGGUUCUGAGAGGAAGGUCCCCCACAUUGGAACUGAGACACGGUCCAAACUCCUACGGGAGGCAGCAGUGAGGAAUAUUGGUCAAUGGGCGAGAGCUUGAACCAGCCAAGUAGCGUGCAGGAUGACGGCCCUAUGGGUUGUAAACUGCUUUUAUAGGGGAAUAAAGUGAGCUACGUGUAGUUUAUUGCAUGUACCCUAUGAAUAAGGACCGGCUAAUUCCGUG
Molecule: ribosomal RNA, 490 nt
Filed under: uncultured bacterium
Lineage: Bacteria
Description: partial 16S ribosomal RNA
Rfam family: Bacterial small subunit ribosomal RNA
Source: RNAcentral